GAACAGUGUCUAGGCCUAAUAAGUACUCAAAAUGCAUUGAUUAUAUUAUUUCUCUUUAAUUUUAGACAUCACAACAUUGCCCCAGAGAGGAACCCAGGAUUCUCACACCAUGACACCAUCCUCAUCUGUUUCUCCAGCCACAUUUGGACAUGGAUCUGGCAGCCAAAGGUCCACAAGAAUAUCCAUAUCUUCACUGUAUGAAAUUGAAAUAAGGAAGACUGUCCUAGCUAAAACCACGCUGAUAACUCUCUAUACUUUUUCCAUGCUUUGUUUUUCUUCAUACCACUUACUGACACCUGACAUUAUAUUAUACAUUUAUUUAUUAUGUGUCUGCUUUCAUAGAAUAUAAACUCCAAGAGA
This 360-nucleotide long non-coding RNA is filed under the name Rhinopithecus bieti (black snub-nosed monkey). RNAcentral's name for it is "lncRNA (ENSRBIG00000045713.1)". The record is from RNAcentral. Lineage: Eukaryota; Metazoa; Chordata; Mammalia; Primates; Cercopithecidae.